UGGCGAGGAAACAAAAGACGUAUUCACUUUUGGAGGCUGAUGAUGAAGAUGACAAUAUUGUCGGUGUGGAAAGUAGUUCCGUUCCUUCUCAGACUAGGAAAGAGGAUACCCGUAUAAAGAAGUUCAGGAAGAGGGUUGAGACCCAUGGAGACGAAGAUGAUGAGGUAGUUAAGGAUGAGGAGGAUGAUAGACGGGUUCGGA
Molecule: unclassified non-coding RNA, 201 nt
Filed under: Hevea brasiliensis (rubber tree)
Lineage: Eukaryota; Viridiplantae; Streptophyta; Magnoliopsida; Malpighiales; Euphorbiaceae
Source: RNAcentral